This 508-nucleotide ribosomal RNA is filed under the name uncultured bacterium. RNAcentral's name for it is "partial 16S ribosomal RNA". It matches the Rfam family "Bacterial small subunit ribosomal RNA", at positions 28 to 507 of the family's 1533-position model. The record is from RNAcentral.
GACGAACGCUGGCGGCGUGCCUAAUACAUGCAAGUCGAACGCUUCUUUCCUCCCGAGUGCUUGCACUCAAUUGGAAAGAGGAGUGGCGGACGGGUGAGUAACACGUGGGUAACCUACCCAUCAGAGGGGGAUAACACUUGGAAACAGGUGCUAAUACCGCAUAACAGUUUAUGCCGCAUGGCAUAAGAGUGAAAGGCGCUUUCGGGUGUCGCUGAUGGAUGGACCCGCGGUGCAUUAGCUAGUUGGUGAGGUAACGGCUCACCAAGGCCACGAUGCAUAGCCGACCUGAGAGGGUGAUCGGCCACACUGGGACUGAGACACGGCCCAGACUCCUACGGGUGGCAGCAGUAGGGAAUCUUCGGCAAUGGACGAAAGUCUGACCGAGCAACGCCGCGUGAGUGAAGAAGGUUUUCGGAUCGUAAAACUCUGUUGUUAGAGAAGAACAAGGACGUUAGUAACUGAACGUCCCCUGACGGUAUCUAACCAGAAAGCCACGGCUAACUACGUG